Molecule: ribosomal RNA, 501 nt
Filed under: uncultured bacterium
Lineage: Bacteria
Description: partial 16S ribosomal RNA
Rfam family: Bacterial small subunit ribosomal RNA
Source: RNAcentral
AUUGAACGCUGGCGGCAGGCUUAACACAUGCAAGUCGAGCGGGGGAAGGUAGCUUGCUACCGGACCUAGCGGCGGACGGGUGAGUAAUGCUUAGGAAUCUGCCUAUUAGUGGGGGACAACAUCUCGAAAGGGAUGCUAAUACCGCAUACGUCCUACGGGAGAAAGCAGGGGAUCUUCGGACCUUGCGCUAAUAGAUGAGCCUAAGUCGGAUUAGCUAGUUGGUGGGGUAAAGGCCUACCAAGGCGACGAUCUGUAGCGGGUCUGAGAGGAUGAUCCGCCACACUGGGACCGGGACACGGCCCAGACUCCUACGGGAGGCAGCAGUGGGGAAUAUUGGACAAUGGGGGGAACCCUGAUCCAGCCAUGCCGCGUGUGUGAAGAAGGCCUUAUGGUUGUAAAGCACUUUAAGCGAGGAGGAGGCUACUUUAGUUAAUACCUAGAGAUAGUGGACGUUACUCGCAGAAUAAGCACCGGCUAACUCUGUGCCAGCAGCCGCGGUAA